CCUACGGGAGGCAGCAGUGGGGAAUAUUGAGCAAUGGGCGAAAGCCUGACCCAGCAACGCCGCGUGAAGGAAGAAGGCUUUCGGGUUGUAAACUUCUUUUGACAGGGAAGAGCAGAAGACGGUACCUGUCGAAUAAGCCACGGCUAACUACGUGCCAGCAGCCGCGGUAAUACGUAGGUGGCAAGCGUUGUCCGGAUUUACUGGGGGUAAAGGGCGUGUAGCCGGGCUGACAAGUCAGAUGUGAAAUCCGGGGGCUCAACCCCCGAACUGCAUUUGAAACUGUUGGUCUUGAGUAUCGGAGAGGCAGGCGGAAUUCCUAGUGUAGCGGUGAAAUGCGUAGAUAUUAGGAGGAACACCAGUGGCGAAGGCGGCCUGCUGGACGACAACUGACGGUGAGGCGCGAAAGCGUGGGGAGCAAACAGGAUUAGAUACCCCAGUAGUC
Molecule: ribosomal RNA, 442 nt
Filed under: uncultured bacterium
Lineage: Bacteria
Description: partial 16S ribosomal RNA
Rfam family: Bacterial small subunit ribosomal RNA
Source: RNAcentral